Olea europaea var. sylvestris is the source of this 423-nucleotide long non-coding RNA. RefSeq lists it as uncharacterized. Lineage: Eukaryota; Viridiplantae; Streptophyta; Magnoliopsida; Lamiales; Oleaceae. The transcript has 3 exons. The record is from RefSeq and is a predicted model, not a curated record.
AUCAACAGUUGUUCAAUUCCGUGAAUAAUCUCAUCGUGGCGAAUGAUAUCUUUUGAGUUUUCCCUCAUCUGUUUUUGUAUCUACCAAAUCUCAAUAGCUACGUUGCCGCCGCAGCAACAUACAUGGCCGUCGGGAAGAACAAGAGGAUUAUGGAGGGAAAAAAGGGAAGGAAGAAGAAAGCAUCACACUUGAUAUUCCUUUGGCAGUGGCUCUACUUUGCUAUUCUUUGGCAACUUACUACUCUAUUACUUCCAUGAAGUGGCUUCCGCCAAGGUUAGCCCCCAUGGUUUGGUUUCUAUUUAUAACCUUCUCGUGUCUUGACAAUAGUAAUUUUUAUUCACUUUAUAUUUUCACGCAAUCUCGUUCAGCUAACUGAUGUUUGCUACUUGUACUGUUAAGCCUACUUGAGCAGAUUAUGUGGCA